UGGGAUGUCGCCAAGUGGUAAGGCACAGGACUUUGACUCCUGCAUUCGCGCGUUCGAGCCGCGCCAUCCCAGCCA
This 75-nucleotide transfer RNA is filed under the name Agathobaculum butyriciproducens. Its description in RNAcentral is "tRNA-Gln". It matches the Rfam family "tRNA". From Rfam's summary of the family: Transfer RNA (tRNA) molecules are approximately 80 nucleotides in length. Their secondary structure includes four short double-helical elements and three loops (D, anti-codon, and T loops). Further hydrogen bonds mediate the characteristic L-shaped molecular structure. tRNAs have two regions of fundamental functional importance: the anti-codon, which is responsible for specific mRNA codon recognition, and the 3' end, to which the tRNAs corresponding amino acid is attached (by aminoacyl-tRNA synthetases). tRNAs cope with the degeneracy of the genetic code in two manners: having more than one tRNA (with a specific anti-codon) for a particular amino acid; and 'wobble' base-pairing, i.e. permitting non-standard base-pairing at the 3rd anti-codon position. RNAcentral also lists the same sequence under 5 other names. Lineage: Bacteria; Bacillati; Bacillota; Clostridia; Eubacteriales; Butyricicoccaceae. The record is from RNAcentral.